RNAcentral lists this non-coding RNA (30 nucleotides) under Mus musculus (house mouse). The record is from RNAcentral. Lineage: Eukaryota; Metazoa; Chordata; Mammalia; Rodentia; Muridae.
UGAGUGAUAGGAUAAAAGGUCUGUGCCACC